CUGCGUCAGACUGGGGCCUCUUUAGAUGGUAAAUCCCCUUAGCAGCAGGCAUCGAUAGGUUUGUUUCUGCUUUGGCAGCCUGGAGAGCUUGGAAGAAAAGAUGAGUGAAACUGACCUGGCAGAGAUAUUCUUCCAAGAAUAUCCUCUCAAAUUUUUGCCAUAUUUUAAAAUCUAAUUUGAUAAUUUUAGUUGUUAUUUAACCGAUGGCUUGUUAUGUCAUGGUAUGAUGUUGUCUUCAUCGCUCAGCUUCCCUUCUGUUUCUAAAUGAGUUCUGAGAGUCUUUUGAAGCCUUAAUCUGUCAGCACUCACUAAUCCCUAGGAUCAACUCCGGGCGAAGAGGAGACCUUGAGUGAUCUUCAGAGAGACUUGGUAGAAGGAGGUUUAAACAGCCCGAAUUCGGUGAAUGCCUAGAGCAGGAUGGAGGCCGAGGAAGGUGGCCUUGCAUCCUGGAACUCCAUCUCUCUUCUGUGUAGGCAAUGUGAGGAGCCAGACACCAGAUACUCACCGUACAUGGUAGUGCGGAUAGCAGAGGCAGAGAUGAAGGCCUAUCAUCGUUUCUUGGGGAGCUGCACCAGCCUGGAGUACAGGGCAAGAAAAGCACUUCCAGUAAACAGCACCUCCCUGCUUUCCAAAGCUGGACACACUCCUGAUGUCUGCUGUGCUGCAGUCUGCAAACCAUCAUAGAAUUCUGACAGCUGCCUGGUCCUUCUCUGCCAUCAACUAAGAGAUCCACAUGGAGGUGCCUCCUGGGCCUGAUGAACAUAAAGAGAGUAACUAUUUGGCGCUCCCAUGUGCUCUGCUAGUGCUGAGCUCUGGGGCCAGGUGCAGAGGUUCCUGUGCAGUGCUCAAAAUCAUAACAAACUUUGUGAGAGGGUGGAAGUGUUUCAUUUUCUAUGUGUAUCAUGCCAUGAUUAUAUCAAUAUGUGUCUAGAUUUAGCAAUUGUAUAUUUAAUAUUUGUGUAGUCUACUUGUAUUCAACAAAAUUCUGUUAGUAUAAAAUAAAAGGUAUAGAUAACACAUUUCAUUAUGUAAACUAAGGGAGUUUACAUUCUCCUUCUUGGGGUAGGGGGUUGCUAUGUACACAGAUGCACUCACCCGUGUGGGCAAUGUGUAGAGAGUGAAGGUUGAUAUCCAAAUGUCUGUAUUAAUCACAUUUCCACUUUACAUUUUUUAAUUAAAAAUUUUAUUACUGUA
Molecule: long non-coding RNA, 1194 nt
Organism: Arvicanthis niloticus (Nile rat)
Lineage: Eukaryota; Metazoa; Chordata; Mammalia; Rodentia; Muridae
Source: RefSeq, a predicted model, not a curated record